RNAcentral lists this ribosomal RNA (441 nucleotides) under uncultured Neocallimastigomycetes. RNAcentral's name for it is "LSU rRNA". It matches the Rfam family "Eukaryotic large subunit ribosomal RNA", at positions 107 to 542 of the family's 3401-position model. The record is from RNAcentral. Lineage: Eukaryota; Fungi; Neocallimastigomycota; Neocallimastigomycetes.
GCUCAAAUUUGAAAUCUUAAAGGUUUUACCUUGACGAAUUGUAGUUUAAAGAAGUGUUUUCUGUUGGUGUUUUGGUAAAAGUUCUUUGGAAUAGGACAUCAUAGAGGGUGAGAAUCCCGUAUUUGACCAUUACUUCCAGCGUUGUGAUACACUUUCAAAGAGUCGAAUUGUUUGGGAAUGCAGUCCAAAAUGGGUGGUAAAUUUCAUCUAAAGCUAAAUAUUGGCGAGAGACCGAUAGCGAACAGGUACCGUGAGGGAAAGAUGAAAAGAACUUUGAAAAGAGAGUUAAACAGUACGUGAAAUUGUCAAAAGGGAAGCGUUUGACACCAGUGUUGUUUUCUCGAAAAUCAAUUAAAAAGUGUUGGAUUUUGUAUUGUUAAGACCUUAUCAGCUUACUGUACUCUUUUCCUGCACUUUUUAAUGCACUUUUCAUUUAACAAG